RNAcentral lists this ribosomal RNA (406 nucleotides) under uncultured bacterium. Its description in RNAcentral is "partial 16S ribosomal RNA". It matches the Rfam family "Bacterial small subunit ribosomal RNA", at positions 29 to 526 of the family's 1533-position model. The record is from RNAcentral.
AUUGAACGCUGGCGGCAGGCCUAACACAUGCAAGUCGAACGAGUGGCGGACGGGUGACUAAUGUCUGGGAAAGUGCCUGGUGGAGGGGGAUAACUAAUGGAAACGGUAGCUAAUACCGCAUACCAUCAGAUGUGCCCAGAUGGGAUGAGCUAGUUGGGGGGGUAACGGCUCACCAAGGCGACGCGCCCUAGCUGGUCUGAGAGGAUGACCAGCCAAACUGGAACGGAGACACGGUCCAGACUCCUACGGGAGGCAGCAGUGGGGAAUAUUGCACAAUGGGCGCAAGCCUGAUGCAGCCAUGCCGCGUGUAUGAAGAAGGCCUUCGGGUUGUAAAGUACUUUCAGCGGGGAGGCGUUACCCGCAGAAGAAGCACCGGCUAACUCCGUGCCAGCCGCCGCGGUAAUAC